This 398-nucleotide ribosomal RNA is filed under the name uncultured Methanolinea sp. RNAcentral describes it as "bacterial SSU rRNA". It matches the Rfam family "Archaeal small subunit ribosomal RNA", at positions 941 to 1338 of the family's 1478-position model. Lineage: Archaea; Methanobacteriati; Methanobacteriota; Methanomicrobia; Methanomicrobiales; Methanoregulaceae. The record is from RNAcentral.
AGCGGAAUGAUAGCCGGGCUGAAGACUCUGCUUGACUAGCUGAGAGGAGGUGCAUGGCCGUCGUCAGUUCGUACUGUGAAGCAUCCUGUUAAGUCAGGCAACGAGCGAGACCCACGCCAACAGUUGCCAGCAUGUCCUCCGGGAUGGUGGGGACACUGUUGGGACCGCCUCUGCUAAAGAGGAGGAAGGAAUGGGCAACGGUAGGUCAGCAUGCCCCGAAUUAUCCGGGCUACACGCGGGCUACAAUGGUCAGGACAAUGGGCAUCAACACCGAAAGGUGAAGGCAAUCUCUUAAACCUGUCCUUAGUUCGGAUUGUGGGCUGCAACUCGCCCACAUGAAGCUGGAAUCUGUAGUAAUCGUGUCUCAAAAUGGCACGGUGAAUAUGUCCCUGCUCCUU